This 720-nucleotide ribosomal RNA is filed under the name Bacillus sp. H26. RNAcentral describes it as "bacterial SSU rRNA". It matches the Rfam family "Bacterial small subunit ribosomal RNA", at positions 67 to 772 of the family's 1533-position model. Lineage: Bacteria; Bacillati; Bacillota; Bacilli; Caryophanales; Bacillaceae. The record is from RNAcentral.
CUGAUUAGAAGCUUGCUUCUAUGACGUUAGCGGCGGACGGGUGAGUAACACGUGGGCAACCUGCCUGUAAGACUGGGAUAACUUCGGGAAACCGAAGCUAAUACCGGAUAGGAUCUUCUCCUUCAUGGGAGAUGAUUGAAAGAUGGUUUCGGCUAUCACUUACAGAUGGGCCCGCGGUGCAUUAGCUAGUUGGUGAGGUAACGGCUCACCAAGGCAACGAUGCAUAGCCGACCUGAGAGGGUGAUCGGCCACACUGGGACUGAGACACGGCCCAGACUCCUACGGGAGGCAGCAGUAGGGAAUCUUCCGCAAUGGACGAAAGUCUGACGGAGCAACGCCGCGUGAGUGAUGAAGGCUUUCGGGUCGUAAAACUCUGUUGUUAGGGAAGAACAAGUACGAGAGUAACUGCUCGUACCUUGACGGUACCUAACCAGAAAGCCACGGCUAACUACGUGCCAGCAGCCGCGGUAAUACGUAGGUGGCAAGCGUUAUCCGGAAUUAUUGGGCGUAAAGCGCGCGCAGGCGGUUUCUUAAGUCUGAUGUGAAAGCCCACGGCUCAACCGUGGAGGGUCAUUGGAAACUGGGGAACUUGAGUGCAGAAGAGAAAAGCGGAAUUCCACGUGUAGCGGUGAAAUGCGUAGAGAUGUGGAGGAACACCAGUGGCGAAGGCGGCUUUUUGGUCUGUAACUGACGCUGAGGCGCGAAAGCGUGGGGAGCAAA